AUGGCCCUAAGGCUCCCGUGGGGACGCCCGGCCUGGGAGGUACUCGGAGGAAGUCUCGGCACCCAAAGGCUGCACAGCCGUGCCCUGGAAGACGCCAAGGUGGGGUCUGGCCCUGGCUGUCUUUCCAAAACAGGCCCCACCUAUUUGAUGGAAACAGCUGGGUCCACUUUCUCCCCAUGCCCCGGAGAGCACAGGGCAGCGGUGUCUGGGGCCAGCCAGCAGGGGGAGCCAGCACCUAAGUGGAAAGACCAGGAGCUUCCAGAAUGGGUCUGAGGACUUCAUCGGAGAAGAGCCAGCUCAGAAAGAAGGCGCCGGCCACCUCCCCUACAACGUGGGACCAUCAGCAGGCCUGCGUCACCUGUCUCUGCCACAGGCUGGCUAGAUGCUCUCGGGCGAGGGACUGCAUCCCUUUUCCGGGGUGGGUAGGUCGGGGAGGAGGAAAUGAACGUCCGGGAGGCACUGACACAAUAAAAUGAGGUAACAGAGGGGAAAUCUGGCAGAGUCCCUGGCAUGCAACUCCUGGUUGAAUUUGCUUUUUUUUUUUUUUUUUUUUUUUUUUAAAUCAAGACAGGUUUACUGAUUCCUGUGGGACUGUAAUUUCCGAGUCUGCCCAAAGUGCAAACAUUUGCCAGGCGGGGAGGGUGGGGUGUGGUGUGGUGCUCUGCUGUCUCUUUUCUUUUCCUCCAGCCUUUUUUGCAUCAAGCUGUCUGUACUUCAGAACGCCCUGCUCUCUCCAACAUUCUAGCAAGCACCCUAGGGUUGAUUAUACAUUAGCCAGGUGCUCAAGUCAAAGGGUGCUUUUUGUUAGGCCUGGCCUGGAAGGGCUCCUUUCAUUGGAAAACUGCUGUGUGCCAAGAGUCAACUCAAAAGCAUUGUUCCCUGUGGAACCCGUCUUCUGACCUAAAAUGUGGCCAUUCACCUCCCCAAUUUACUGACAGCCCACGUCGGUUUUGCAAGGCCCCGCACAGGGCAGAGAUAGAUAAGCCACGAUCACACCAGGGGAAAGCCUCCACUGAUGGGUACAGAGAUACCAAGAGCCGAUUUCAGAACCAUGUAUGUGCCUAUCUACAGAGAUCCCCACUGAGAAAGGUAUCUACGCCAGUUCCCACGAACAUUCUGUGAGGGAAGAACUAGCUCCACUUCAGAGACUGCCCUCCAAGUGCAAGGUUAGACAGGAAAGGGCAGGACCAGGACUGGACCCCUGGUGUGGCUCAGCCUCGAUCUCCCAUAUCCUAAAUGGGCAGGGGCUCUUGGGAGACCUCCUCCUGCACCGGCUCCAACAUGACUACAAUAAUGUAGGUCACUGUAGCUGAAAAGUGCGGUUUUUUUCUCCGUAUCAUUGAGCCGUUUUGUGAUCUGGACUGUGGCCUGGGGGGUAGUGACACCAGCCCUAGCCCAUUUGGUGGCCUGACGGCUCUCGGGGUCACACACUCAUGCCAGCGACCCUGGGGAUCUGAACAUCACCCCACAGUGUGUCCAUCCCUGCUCGUGCCCUCCUCCGGCAUUAAAUCGUACUGGAACCAGCCAGGACCCAGCACCCUCGACUGUUUCACGGGCUUCCUGCUUCUCCUUCCUGCCUCACCUGAUGCAUCAGAAUUUUGCGGUAAAACUUCAGCUUUACAAGAAGACACAGCAGGAACAACAAGGGAACUCAGUGAUCCAAAACCAGCUAAAUGAAGGCAUGUGUGUGUCUGUGUGUGUAUGUGUGUGUGUGUCUUUCUUCUUCUAAUGUAAAGCAGUUCCAAGAAAAGUGAAGUCACGGCCUCUGGUGCUUAUUUUCAGUUCUUAGAAAAGAGCCCAUUUCAAAAGGGAAGCUGGGUGGCGGGAGCGCACACAGCCUGUCCUCAUCUGGUGGGGAAGUGGGGGGGAGGUGCUUGCUGAUAAACCGACUGUGAUUUGGCUCCUGAAAACUAAAAGCCCCAACCGAGAUGCGUUUUCAUUUAGCGGUGUCAAGGAGGAAAUGCUAUGAAUCGGUGAGAGCUAUUAAUAUUUGGGGGAACCACAAGGGCUCGCGCCCCCGCACUGGGGCCGCAGGAGCCCCUGGGAGCGGCAGGCAGUCUGCGGGACUGUCGGAAAAAGUGCAGGCACCCUCUGGUCCCCACCUCCCACACUUCUGACAGAGGUCCCCGCACAGGCAACCCUAUCAGCUAAAUCAGCAUUUCUCAACAGGGCACUAUUUACCAAAGUUAGGUGAAGACAAACCCCAGGGAGAUGAGAAGGUUCUGGGCAGCCCACUCCGUUUUCUAGCUGGAAAGCGGGUUUGGGGGAAGGGCGGGGGGUGGUGGGCAAGGCUCCGGAGGGCGGACUUCUGGGCCGGGAGUCAAGGAGCCGGCCACACUCCCAGCUCGAGGACUCCAACUG
Mustela putorius furo (domestic ferret) is the source of this 2361-nucleotide long non-coding RNA. The record is from Ensembl. NCBI's taxonomy places the organism in Eukaryota, Metazoa, Chordata, Mammalia, Carnivora, Mustelidae.